This 81-nucleotide non-coding RNA is filed under the name Pseudomonadota bacterium. RNAcentral's name for it is "Proteobacteria bacterium ZTP sequence". It matches the Rfam family "ZMP/ZTP riboswitch aptamer (pfl RNA motif)". From Rfam's summary of the family: Previously known as pfl RNA. The record is from RNAcentral. Lineage: Bacteria; Pseudomonadati; Pseudomonadota.
CGAUGUGCGCGUGACUGGCGAGACAGGUGGAGCACCACCGUGCAGCGCGAACAUACCCCGCCGCUCGCCUGCGCACCCCUG